UACAGGGGGGGCAAGCGUUGUUCGGAAUUACUGGGCGUAAAGGGCCAGUAGGCGGCCAACUAAGUCAAACGUGAAAUCCCUCGGCUUAACCGGGGAACUGCGUCUGAUACUGGAUGGCUUGAGUUUGGGAGAGGGAUGCGGAAUUCCAGGUGUAGCGGUGAAAUGCGUAGAUAUCUGGAGGAACACCGGUGGCGAAGGCGGCAUCCUGGACCAACACUGACGCUGAGGAGCGAAAGCCAGGGGAGCAAACGGG
Molecule: ribosomal RNA, 253 nt
Filed under: uncultured bacterium
Lineage: Bacteria
Description: partial 16S ribosomal RNA
Rfam family: Bacterial small subunit ribosomal RNA
Source: RNAcentral